Molecule: long non-coding RNA, 927 nt
Organism: Peromyscus maniculatus bairdii (prairie deer mouse)
Lineage: Eukaryota; Metazoa; Chordata; Mammalia; Rodentia; Cricetidae
Source: RefSeq, a predicted model, not a curated record
CCUGGUCUACAGAGUGAGUUCCAGGAAAGGCUCCAAAGCUACACAGAGAAACCCUGUCUAAAAAACAAAAAACAACAACAAAAACUUCAUGAAACUGCUUCUAUGUUGAAACAGACUUUGGAGUAACCCAAAUCUGUGUUCAGCUCCAGUUUUCUAGAGCCAUGGUCACUCAAAGUGGCUCCAGAAUGAACAAUGGGCCACCAAGUUACCAUGCAAACUGAGUCAUGCCCAUUAUGAGCUGGCUAUUAUCAGACCCACAAAGCCAUAAAGUAGGACAUACACAACAGCAAUCCAACCAAUAUCAAAUGGAAGUGGUAUAGAUGUGAUCGGGCCCAAGCUGGUCCUGAAGGCACAAACAAAUUAUGUGAAGAAGUUGCCCAGAUGCCUAUGGUUUCUACUCCUGUUACAAGACCUUCUGUUUCCAAACGUACCUAUGGCCUCAGGAGGUGUGCCUACGAUCGGAUGACUGAGGAAGAAAAGACCAGGAUCUGGUUUGCUGAUAGUGCUGCAUGUGGGCACCACCCAGAGAUGGACAACAGGAGCAUUACAGUUCCAUUCUAGGAUAACCCUAAAAGACACUGGCGAAGGGAAAUCUUCACAGUGGACAGAACUCUGGGUAGUACACAUGGUCAUACAUUUUGCUUGGAAGGAGAAAUGGCAGAUGUACCAUCGUUUACUGAUUCAUGGGCUGUAGCCAAUGGAUUGUCUAGAUGGUCAGGGAUGUGGAAAGAACAUGAUUGAAAAACUGAUGAGAAAGACAUCUGUGGAAGAAGUAUUUGGAUGGAUGGCUCUCUCCAAAUGGGCAAAAGAGCCCUAGCCGUCCCCAGUCUUUGGGUCAUAUUCAGUCUACUUCCUUCUCAGCUUUGGACUCUUCCAGAUGCCUCUGGCUGUUCUCUCAUAUCUACAAUAAAAAUCUUAGCCAUACCA